This 460-nucleotide ribosomal RNA is filed under the name uncultured bacterium. RNAcentral describes it as "partial 16S ribosomal RNA". It matches the Rfam family "Bacterial small subunit ribosomal RNA", at positions 338 to 795 of the family's 1533-position model. The record is from RNAcentral.
CCUACGGGCGGCAGCAGUGAGGAAUAUUGGUCAAUGGACGAGAGUCUGAACCAGCCAAGUAGCGUGAAGGAUGACUGCCCUAUGGGUUGUAAACUUCUUUUAUAUGGGAAUAAAAUGUUCCACGUGUGGGAGUUUGUAUGUACCAUAUUAAUAAGAAUCGGCUAACGCCGUGCCAGCAGCCGCGGUAAUACGGAGUAUCCGAGCGUUAUCCGGAUUUAUUGGGUUUAAAGGGAGCGUAGGUGGAUUGUUAAGUCAGUUGUGAAAGUUUGCGGCUCAACCGUAAAAUUGCAGUUGAAACUGGCAGUUUUGAGUACAGUAGAGGUGGGCGGAAUUCGUGGUGUAGCGGUGAAAUGCUUAGAUAUCACGAAGAACUCCGAUUGCGAAGGCAGUUCACUGGACUGCAACUGACACUGAGGCUCGAAAGUGUGGGUAUCAAGCAGGAUUAGAUACCCGUGUAGUC